Sander lucioperca (pikeperch) is the source of this 332-nucleotide long non-coding RNA. RefSeq lists it as uncharacterized. NCBI's taxonomy places the organism in Eukaryota, Metazoa, Chordata, Actinopteri, Perciformes, Percidae. The transcript is spliced from 3 exons. The record is from RefSeq and is a predicted model, not a curated record.
GGUUCAAACCCUAUUUGUUACAGUCUGGGAGGCCACACACAGAUAUAUAAAUCAAAAGUAGUUUAUUUAACUCCAACUAACUCCAACUGGGGGCAUAUUUCAUAACAUCAGAGUUUCAACCAAUAUCCUGUCUCUGUCACUGAUUUUGUCCUUUGGCCUUUUUCAAAUACUUUAUAGAAAUGUUGUCUGUUAUAUUUUAGAUUGUAUUAGAUCAAACUAUGGAUUUUAACCCCUGCCUUCCAGUUAGCAUUUAUAAGCAGUAUAUAAACAUUUGAUAGAUUCUAACAAACUACUGUUCUGCCAUUGUGAUCAAAGUUGCCUACUGUAUACAU